Molecule: long non-coding RNA, 4902 nt
Organism: Oreochromis niloticus (Nile tilapia)
Lineage: Eukaryota; Metazoa; Chordata; Actinopteri; Cichliformes; Cichlidae
Source: Ensembl
ACUUCCUCAGGCCAGAGAUUGGACAAACAUUUAAACUGUGAUUAUUUAGAGAUCAACAAAUAUAAAUAUAAACUGUUUUGUUUUUCAGUGUUCAUAUGUUGUUAUAAUGAAAAACACAUAUUUAUUUUUCUUCCUCUUUGAUAACAGCAUAUUACCCCAGGGCCACACUGACAGCAGGAGCAACAAUCAUACCAGUAGGGGGCAGUGUGACACUGACCUGCUCUGUGCAGAGCUCUGAUGGAUGGAAAUAUGAGUGGUUCAGACGAACCCAAACAACCACUGAAGUUCAAAUCAGAGAUCAAGAAAACAGAGAUAUCAGAGUAUCUCAAGGAGGAAUCUACAGCUGCAGAGGAACAAGAGGAAACCCAGUUUACUACACUGAUAUAAGUGAUGAUGUCACCAUUGAGAAAACUCUUUCCAAUAAAGUUGUUGUAAAACAACAACCCAACUGGCCUCAGAUAUUCAGAGGUGAGACGAUCACUCUGACAUGUGAGGUGCAGGAAGGAGGUGAAACCACUGAGUGGGAGGCUGUGUCCGAAUUCAGGGGAAGGAUGCUUAAAAUGCCAUAUUUGGAGGCAAUGACGUCACAGCGACGCGACGAGGACUGUCCGAAUUCAAAGAGCACUCAAAAUGUGGUGACAAAUGCGUCCUACUUUGCACUGAAUUCUAAGGAUGGUCUGAUGUAUCCUUCAUGUCCUACUAUAUCCCAGGAUUCAUUGCGGGUCAUAGAGGAGAUUUGUUUCUGAUGGGUUUCUAACGAUGGUGGUCGAAGCAGGAGAGGAAAACACUUUCAUAUGUAAGUAUAUGAAAAUCUGGUUGUACAAAAGUUAAAUUGUCAUAGCGGUCGUUUUGUUAAGCUUUGGGCAUCUGCAUAGACAUGUUUCUUUUCUUUAAAAUAACCGUAAAUCAGCUUGUAUCGGGGGUCCCGCGAUUUUUCAUGUAUUGCCGCUUACAUACAGCUAAUUUUGAUUUUUUCGAAUUGGUGAUAUGUUGUGGGGAACAAAGACCAAACGGCUUAAUUUAUUAAAACGAGGAGAAAACGAUCACCUCUUCACUGGGGUGAAGAAUUGGGCCGCUACGGCGUGGAUGUACAAGAAUAAAUCAAUGUACACAUCAUAUUCAUAUGAGUGCGGUCCUAUUAACCCUCAUGCUGUACAGCAGCGGUCCCCGACCUUUUUGCGCCACAGACCGGUUUAUGUCAGACACGGAGCGGCCUUUAAGGUAUCGCGGAUAAAUACAAUCACAUAAAAUGAUCCGACCAAGACAAAAACUGUGGUAUUUUGUAAAUAUAAUAAUAAACGUGAAUGUACUGUGUAACUGUAACUUUAUUAGAAGCGACCUCCUGAAAAUGCGCCAAUAUUGACAGUCCUCUCUGCCACUUAAUGCUCUCUGGUCGCUAUGGUAACGUGUAAAUAUUUCUUUCAAAAUAAGACACACAACUACAACAAGGGAAAGACUCAGGGAAACCGAGUUAACGAUAAAACCCCUGAAAACCAUAAAUUUCACACCGGAGCCGUAACUCUGUGGCCCGGUACCAAACGACUCACGGACCGCUGCUGUACAGAAGCUGUGAUGUCCAGACGGUGUUCCUCUGGUGUUCUGCUGUGAAAACCUUUGGGCUUAGGGAUUAACAUAGUUGCCAUGGUGUCCUUUCUUCUCUUAUUUGUUGUGUGUGAUCAGGACAAUUCUGGAGAAGAUGGGCCUGCAGGGGAAAGUCACCCCCUUGCAGGCCAGAAGACAUGAGAUAACUUUAAAGAAUACAAAGUACGUAUGUGUGUUAUCAAGAAGAUAAUUCUCAAGAACACAAGUUAAUAAAUGUGCAAUUACUAAGAGUUGUUGUGGUGUUUUUAUUUGCCUGCUGUCAUUUUUGAUUUCCUCUGCCUUUAGGAUUGCAAGUAUCCAGGCUCAGGAGAGGGGGUCAGUGGGAAGCCCACUGCUGCUACUUGGCCCUGGUUUGCCCUCAUGGAUGAGGUGAUAGGACAGAUGCCUUCCAUUACACCUCCUGUCCUAAUUUCCUCUCUCCCUGAGGACACUCCAGGGCCAAGCACAGCAGUGGGUGACCAAAACGACAGCGAUGACGAAGCGGCUCAGCCACCUACGACAGGAAGAAAGAGGAAAAGAGACAGGGAUGAUGAGCUGCUAGACCUCAUCAGAGAGGACAUGAGGCAGCAAAGAGAGGCUGAGGAGAGGAGAGCAGGGAGAGGACGGACAGACUGUUUUCACUUCUUGAAAGAUUAGUUCCCAAAUGAGUUAUGUAUUGAGAAAUUUAUUUAUUUGAAUAUAUUUGUUACAUUGUUAUAUGUGUUGCAUUAGUUUAAAGGUUUUAUGUUAUUAAUAAAUUGAUUCAAACAAACAGUAAUUGUCACUGAACUCAAUUUGAUUUACAGGCAUUUGUAACACGUAUGAACAUAACGCUAACUUUGAACAAUAUUACUUGGAUAUUUAUUUGAUAGCAAUAAAGUAAAUAACAAUAACAAUUAACCCUUUAAAGCCGGUCGGAGCAGGCACGCUCCGUUUUGCGUAAUUAUUUUUAAAUCCCUGUAGAACACAGGAACCGCGUAAGCUAGCGCAAUAAUGUUUUUUGCAUAUGAAACCGGAGAAGUUGUACUUACAUCUUAUGCCAUCAGCUUUUCCUAGGUCACGGUUUUCUUCCACAUAUAGCUUUGCAAAAAUUGCAUAAAAAGCGCUUGCAGGAACAAAAACAUAAUAUUCCAGAAACACGCUUUGCCGAUCCGAUCAGCUGUUCGUAACACUUCCCACAUUGAAACAGACGUCAGCGCGAACGAUCGCAUGUCCGCUAUUUCCUGCCCUGAACCGGAAGUGACGUCAUUUACACGAAAAAUGUAGUUUUUUACUUCUAGGCUUCAAAAGCCUAUACUUGUGUUUUUAUAAGUCAUGUUUGACUUUAUGCUUUUCUGAAUAGUUUCUGGGAUGCUUAGAACUCGAAUUGCACUGCUGGAAAUAGUUUAUUUUGAUGCACAUGCUGUUUUCUUUGCAAAUUUGCAUCAUAGGAUUGUUUUUCGUUUUUCCUGCAGUAUAUAAAAAUUGGUGUAUCUCAAAAAUAAAAUUAUGAAGACACUCAAAAUAAAUUUCCUGUUGUUGUAAACUAUUUUUUGCAACUUUUUUGUAUUUAAAGUUUUGAGGGAUAAACCUCUUAAAUUUCUCCAAGUAGAAAUAUAUGUAAAAAAAAAUAAAAACGAUUCUCAAUUUUUUUGUAGUUUAUUGCACUUUUUUGCAAUGAAGGUAGUUACUAUGGACUUAAUGCAUACAUAUUAUUAAAAUAUGGGCUAUAUCAGUUGUAUUGAUGUAUAGCAACUUGAAAUGCUCCCAAAAAUGGCACUACAGCAUGUAAAAAUAUAAAGUAAGCUCUGGCGGACUUGGUUCUAUGGUAGGUCUUAAAGGGUUAAACAAGAAUAUUUCAAAUACACAGUAUGUAAAGAUGGAAAAACAAUAUUUACAGUUGUUCACACAGGAUUAACCUGAGUGACCUGUUCCUGGACCGUUUCUUUAACAACUGUAAUAGAUUACAGGAAGUCUCUGGCAGUGUUGCUGAAUCUGCCCGAGCAAGAUCAGACAUGGAUGAGCUGCUGCAACUGAGACCUGCGGUUUGUCUUUUCUGGUGGGCGAGUGGAGAAUCACACAGGGUGUCUGCAAAGAGCUUUAGGAUGCUUCCUCCCACUGUCCACUGCAUCGUCCAUCCACAGGGUUUGCAGGGCCGGCUCACUCGUGGCUGCACACCACUAAGAUGUUUACAGAGAUAUGCAAGCAGGAGAUGGUGGAUGCUAUAUUAUUAGUAUAAUACUUGUAACUCUGUAGCAGACAACAGUUUGAUAAAGUGCUAUGUAAAAAAACAAACAAACAAAAGAUUAGAUUUUAUACGUUUCAAAGAUAUUUAGUUUAUAUAUUUUAUAUGAUACAGUACAUGUGUGAGAAUGACCGAUGUUGUGGCAAAAAAAUGAUCGUCUGCCAAAAACUGAUUUCCGUUUUUUGCCCUAAACUGAUUGCUCGUAUUUAACCUGCUAUGAAUAACUUGUUGGUCUAUAAUAUGUGAAACAUGUCAAAUGCGUCCCUCAUUAAUGAUAUCAAGUCACCUUGAGCCACCAGCAACAUUCCUGUAACAAGGUAGAAGCUGCAAUCAGUUUUUGGCAGUGACUUUUAUAUAUCCUUUAUUCAUCCAGUUAAAAAAAAAAAUCUUAUUGACAUUAGAAAUUUAUUUUUUAAGAGUAAUCUGGCCAAGAGGACAGCAGACAGCGCAACAAAUAUAUCAAUUGUACCUACAUUAUAACCAGAGUUAUAAAGAUACUUGAACAACAGGUAAUUAUUGUAUAUAUAAAACCCCUUAGUAAACCAUGUUCACCGAAGUCUAUUUACCAACAUACAUGAAGAUAUUUCACAUAUUACACUCGGAAACAUUGGAAAUCAGUUUUGGCAGGCGAACACUUUUUUGGCACAACGCCGGCGAUAUUUCAAUUAUCCGUGUAAUUAGCUACGUAAUUCCUAAAUGCGUGUAGAUUAAAGGAAAUGAUUUUACCUGGAUAUGAUUGUCUCUGAUGAGCCUAAGGUACAAAACGUGCGGGCGGCGACAAUAAGGUUUUUCUAGCUCCUUGAGAAAUAAAAUUGUCCAAACAACGGAGCGACAUUUCUGGGUCCAUUUUAAAGUUUUCCCGCUGUGGCGCUAGCGUUCGGAAAAACACGCAAGUAAGGGCGGAGUUGAAGGCUAGGAGGCUGUCCACAGCCCAUCUGUUAUGUUGGAUACUCAUUGUUUGUUCUAGUUUCUAUGGAGAAAAAAAGGGGGCUGUCCAAGCCUUCUCACUUCCUGACUACCCGUCCGUCUAAGGACACUACCUUGUGACGUAGGUAGGUAGUGUCCUUAUGAGCAUCCUUCCCCUGAAUUCGGACACA